AGCAAAGUGGUGCAGUGGAAGCGUGAUGGGCUCGUAACCCAUAGGUCACAGGAUUGAAACCUGUCUUUGCUA
This 72-nucleotide transfer RNA is filed under the name Scenedesmus sp. NREL 46B-D3. It matches the Rfam family "tRNA". From Rfam's summary of the family: Transfer RNA (tRNA) molecules are approximately 80 nucleotides in length. Their secondary structure includes four short double-helical elements and three loops (D, anti-codon, and T loops). Lineage: Eukaryota; Viridiplantae; Chlorophyta; Chlorophyceae; Sphaeropleales; Scenedesmaceae. The record is from Rfam by way of RNAcentral.